Nyctereutes procyonoides (raccoon dog) is the source of this 3108-nucleotide long non-coding RNA. RefSeq lists it as uncharacterized. The transcript is spliced from 2 exons. The record is from RefSeq and is a predicted model, not a curated record. Lineage: Eukaryota; Metazoa; Chordata; Mammalia; Carnivora; Canidae.
UGGUGCUUUCGUCCCUGCUUGUCCUCUCUGCCCGCCGCUCCCCGCGCCCCUCCUCCCCGGUGUCACGGAGGCUUAACCCACAAAUACAAACUUUGUAUGUUCGAGGUGCAUGAUGUGGCGGUUUGGCAUGUGCAUGGACGGCGCUGAUGGACACGUCCAUCCCCCCACGGGGUGACCCAGCUUCCUAUCCUCUGUGUCUGUGGUGAGGGCACUUAGGACACACGCGGACUCUGCUGCGCCCUGGCAUCCAGCGCUGUCCCGUCCGCCGCAGUCACCACGCGCGAGCCAGCUCUGGGACCUGGGAGCCUGUGCCCUCACCCAGCCUUCCCGGUCACGGGGACCCGCGGCCGCGCCGGCGCCUGGGCUGGCCUGUUGGGGCCCACGGUAGGCGAAGUACUCCACACCCCGUCCUGCAGGCCCACCCGAGCUGGCGCAAGUGGCUUUUCCUCCUUUGUAAGGCUGAACAGUGCUCCGUGUGUGUGCCCGCCACAUCUUUGUCUUGCAUCCGUCUGUCCAUGCACCCCCAGCUUCCUCAUCUCGGCUCGUGGAUGGCACCGCAAUGAACGUCCCCCCGUCGCUCUGCUUCUCCUUUUCUCUUUCCCUCCCUCCUCCUCCCCUUGCAUCAGUCCCUCUGUCUCUCCCCCCUCCAUCCGUCCAUCCCUCCAUCCUUCCCCUUCUCUGUCUGUCUGGCUCCCCCACCACCCAGCCCCCGACAUCUGUGUGGCCGCGACACGUGUGCAGCACAGCACUCAGCACGUUCAGAGUGGUUCCAGCCUCGGCUGCAUCUCAUUAAUGCCUCCUGCGGGCGCGCGUCCCCCGGGAGCCCCGGGCCCUGCAGGGAGAGAGCAGGGUCACCCCGGAAGGACCCCAGGCGGCGGCGGAGGCUCUCGGAGGCCUGACUUGGAAGUGAGAACUUGAAGCCACGCGGCGUCUUCCCAGGCGGAGGUGGAGGGUGUGCCUGUGGGGGGCACAGGGAUCCUACGGCUACAGCCCCUCCCACGGACCCCGGGGACUUCGAAUCGCCUGCUCCUCCUUGUGAAGCCAACUUUUUCCAGGUGUAAUUUACAGACCGUGAAAGGCACCAUUUCAAGCAACAAAUAUAUAACAGAUCAGGAGCUUCUAGAAGGCAAAGCCUGUGUCUUGAGCACCUGCAUUUCCUUGGCCCCAGGCCUUUUGCUCAGCACACACACAUACACACACACUUGCACGCGUGCACACAUGCCAACCAGCAGAGGGAGAAGCAGAAGAGGCCCUGGUGGCUUUGCAUGGGGACCGUCCUCUCGGCGAAUCCAGGACAAGAGGAAGCCGCGGUCGGUCAAGGUCGGUUGGGAAGCCUGUGCCCUUCGAUCACAGGAAUGACAGUGCAUCUCAGGAGCGACUGCCAACUCGGUGUCCUGCCAGGUUCAGGCGGGACAGACGCUCAAACUGGGUCAGAGGCCCGGCUCUGCCUCGUUCCAAGGAGCAAGCGCCGUGGUCGCUGGAAAGUCCAUCUUACGUGAGGUUCUUUAUCCAGUUGGUUAAUUAGAUUUUCCUCAAUGAUUUCACGCCGCGGUUCUGCUUUGCAAGAGGAACUUAAGCGGGCUUUGCCAGGAAGUCCUGUUGGAAGCCGACCGGGUGCUGCAGUGGGGGUGGGGGCGCAGAGGGGGCUGAGUGCUGGCACCCUGACUGCCCCCCUCCGCUGCCUCGACCCCCCACCCCAGCCCUGGGCCGGAGUUCAUUAUUCACGGGCAUCCCUCCUGGCACGCACCGUGUGCCAUGCGUAGGCUCCGAGGACAGCAGCGAGGCACCCAGACCCUGCCCUCUGGGGCUUGAGUCCAACGGUGGGGGAAACACUGAUGGGGGGAACCACAGCUCCCAAGGGGCCCGGGGCCAGGGUGGUCAGAGCCAAGGGUGCACAGCGUAGGUGGAGCAGCCCGGAUGCCUAUGUCGCUCCCGGCGAGUAUGUGUGCGUGCCCAUCCACCUCACUGCCCUGCUAGUCAGCACCGAGUCAGGGGACUGUGGGGCUAGGCGUUCUCAGGGGACCGGCAGGCACCCUGGGUUAGGCCGCAGAGGGGUCUGGGGGAGAACUGGACCAAGAGCGGACGUGAUUAUGAAUUGGCCCCAGGAAGCUCCUGGAGUGGAGGCCACUCAGGUGCAGGGUCCUGAGUCAGGAGGGCAAGUGCAUGAAAGGUGAGCGGGGCUGAGAUGGGGGGGGCGGCCCACAGGAGGAUCUGGGGAGGCUGGGAGCGAUGUCCCCCACGGUUCCCCUCCACAGAAGGGCAGGGACGAGGUCCUGCUCAUCGGUCCCCCUCCAGGAAGCCUGCCCGGGUCUCGCCCUCUCUUCAGAGGAGAGGGACAGUCGGCUGCAAGGCGGCCUGUGGUGGCCUCCGGCUCCCUCCCCCAUCCCGUCCCCUCUCUGGAUGUUUCUGCAGCCGUCCACGGGGCAUUUGGGACGGAGCACAGGGCAGAUCCCCGGGUGCGCAUCCAGCCCGUGCCCCUUUGCUGUGAUUCUGCUCAGGGGACUUGGCCUCCCGGAGCCGGUGCUGCUCCUGCAGCGGGAGGGAGGAGGGCGCAGGCGCCUGGGGCCAGGCCUUCUUCACCCAUGCCCGGGGCUUGGGAAGAACCGCGGCCCUGCUCACCCCUUGCACGCCCGGGCAUUGAAUGUCGGGUGGGUGCCGGGCUGCUCCCCUCCCAGGGCCCCGCCCCAGCCACUCCAGAGACCCCCACGCUGAGCCCUGCUCACUCGCUCGCUUGCGCCCCACCGGGGUGACAGCCCUGCUGGAGCUCAGCACGGCCACGACGCCUUGGCAACGACCAAAGUGGCUUUUCAGUGAGAACUGAAGCCCGAGGAGGAAAAACACGAGAGUAAGCGAGCUGGAGAGCAGACCUGGGUCACGACCCGAAGCCCCGGGCCUGGACCCAGGGAACCGCGGGAGCUCUGUUCCCACGUCUGGGAGGAGUGCCUCCCAGGGGCUCAUUUCAUUCAAUCCUCAAGACCAUCCCCGAGGACCCCGGAGGAGGCGAACCAGGCACAAAGGUUAAGACGCUUGCUCAAGGCACACAGCAUUAAGGCUCUGUUAUCGGGUAACCACAGUUUAGCCCCCAAAUAAUAGCUCUGACUUUCCAGA